GUUUGCCUACGCGCAAACUCGUUUGUGCUGUGUUGUGUGUGUGUGUGUGUGUGUGGUUUGUUACUGCACGGCUAGUAUGGCCAUAAUAAGACAACAUGUGAAGUGACUGAUUAAAUUGAGUCACUUUUUGAUAUCAGUCUUAAAUGUUAGCAUAGGGUGUACAUGGGACUCAUUUUAUUUGUGUGAUUCGGCAUUAGUCCCAGUGACACUGUAACUUUUCUGCUCUGUGCAAAUAAGUUUUUCAAAUGUUAUUUUUUUCCGAAAACCUCUCAUUUGUGGUUGUUGUUUGUAUUGUCUAUGGUUUUUUGACACUUAAAAUGUCACCAAUUGUCAAACUUGAAGAAAAUUUUGACUGUUUGGUGCUUUCGAGAGUUUCGAGUGUAUUAUUUUGGUAAUAUUACUUUGCUUUGCGCUACCCCAUGGAUUCAUAUUGGCUCAUUAAACUACUUUAUUGAGUUUCUUGGACAUCGUCUCAUCAAAUGAUAUACGACCAAGCUUGCUCCCGACCAAGCACGCUCAGAUUCCUUGGGAGCUCCUGCUAUCGGCAGCCGUCGAUGCAUCGGAUCCCUGAGACGAAGAACAAAAACAGCAUGCCACCUGACUGAUGACCCACCCACUGUCUACCCGGACCCAGGAGCUAGAAGGCCUUGAGAAAAAAGCCCGGGCAGGAUCCUGACGGGCGCAGAAUAUCAUCUUCGAUGCUUGUCUUGUCAUUUAUAUAAUCAAUGGAAGGAAAAAAACAGUAGAACAUUGAAAUUGGCUUGUAGGCAAGACGGAAGAUGGUCAAAACCGGUCAGAAAUUGAUGCCCUAGACACGGUUGGAGAGCUCUUGUUGGCAGAAACCACCUGAAUGGUGAAUGGUGGUGCUGAAUGAUGGUCAGAUGACAUUAGCAACCUUGUGGUGAAACAAUGAACUGGAGCGGCACCGAACUGAAAAAGUUGAAAAACUUGGCAUACAUACUAUGAGACCCAUUUGAUGACUGAUAUAAGCAAAGUUCAGACUGAUUAUUGUGAUAGUUGAUAACUAAGAAUACCUAAUAUGCUUUUAUGGUGUGUGAAAUAGUAUACUUUUUAUAAUUUAUUAAUUAAAAGUUUAAUAAAUGUUUUACUUACCUAAAGAAAAUAUUAUAUUUUUAUAACCAUUUAAAAUAGUUGUAAGUACAUGCUAGCAUACCCACUUAUUUUUUUAUAGUUAGUGUGUAGUUGAUAAAUAAUAAAUCCUGACUAGGGUUUGUCACUGUAGUGAAAGGAUUAGUCGCUGACUACCCGGUGUACCGGAUGUAUUCAAUGUACAGUUUAUAUGAUUUACACUUCAUGAACUCCACAUUUAGCAUUCAAACUAUUCAAUUAGCCACUUCAUCUCAGUUAGUGUGUUGUUCACGUGUUGUUGAUAAAUCAUAAAGCCUGACUAGGGUUUGUCGCUGUGGUGAAGGAUUAGAAUGAGUCGCUGACUGCCCGGUGUGCCAGAUGUAUUCAAUGUACAGUUUAUAAGUAUUAUUUACAUUUCGUGAACUCUAUAUUUAGCAUUCAAACUAUUCAAUUAGCCACUUCAUUACCUACAUACUUUGACGUGAAUAGGCAAACUUAAAGUAUAAGUAUGGGAGACAACUGAAAAUCUGUGGUUUGUUCCUAAGGGCAAACAUAUGCGCUGAGUUGCUUCCCUUUUGGUCUGCUUCAACACACACAUUUCGCCUCUUAAUUUAAGUGGAACAAAUUAAUGUCUAUCUAUCUAACUUAUUAGCACAUGUCAGCGACAGGAUUUGAAUCCACAUCUCUUCCGUGAGGGGCGGGCGCUUACCCGUCUGAGCUAACACCGCUACAUAUAAGUAAUAUGAUAUAUAAUUUUAGUCAAAUAAAAAGAGGAUGUGUGUUUUGACAAAUGUUGUUUUUAAAGCAUUUUCAACGGGUUAUUAGAGUCCCGGAUCAUCCUCCCUAUAAGUAUUAUAGUAAUUUUCCUUUCCUGCAUCUCUUCUUGUAGAGCAAGGAUGAAAUUAACAAAAACUAAACAAAUAAUUAUUUGUGUCACAUGUUAUCACCACCUUCGAACUUGAGUGAUAUAAUGCUACCUAAACAAAUGUCAAACUGAGACAUGUGUGGAUAAAUUGGUACACCCAUGUUAGGAAAUAAGACAAAUCUUCCAAUCUCGCUGUCAAAAUUGUAACUCACAUCUUGUAGUGAUUAUUUCGUGUUGGCCAUGUUAGCGUUUGUGAGGACAACUGGUAUCACACAAUUUGUUGCAACUAGCUGUCAUUUAUAUCUUGUCACCGCCAUACUGUGCUACGCGUGCAGGUU
Long non-coding RNA from Plutella xylostella (diamondback moth), 2292 nucleotides. RefSeq lists it as uncharacterized. The record is from RefSeq and is a predicted model, not a curated record. NCBI's taxonomy places the organism in Eukaryota, Metazoa, Arthropoda, Insecta, Lepidoptera, Plutellidae.